ACUCCUACGGGAGGCAGCAGUGGGGAAUAUUGCACAAUGGGCGCAAGCCUGAUGCAGCCAUGCCGCGUGUAUGAAGAAGGCCUUCGGGUUGUAAAGUACUUUCAGCAGUGAGGAAGGUGGAUAUGUUAAUAGCAUAUUCAUUUGACGUUAGCUGCAGAAGAAGCACCGGCUAACUCCGUGCCAGCAGCCGCGGUAAUACGGAGGGUGCGAGCGUUAAUCGGAAUUACUGGGCGUAAAGCGCAUGCAGGUGGUUUGUUAAGUCAGAUGUGAAAGCCCGGGGCUCAACCUCGGAAUUGCAUUUGAAACUGGCAAACUAGAGUACUGUAGAGGGGGGUAGAAUUUCAGGUGUAGCGGUGAAAUGCGUAGAGAUCUGAAGGAAUACCGGUGGCGAAAGGCGGCCCCCUGGACAGAUACUGACACUCAGGAUGCGAAAGCGUGGGGAGCAAACAGGAUUAGAUACCCUGGAUAGGCGUAG
This 475-nucleotide ribosomal RNA is filed under the name uncultured bacterium. RNAcentral's name for it is "bacterial SSU rRNA". It matches the Rfam family "Bacterial small subunit ribosomal RNA", at positions 335 to 799 of the family's 1533-position model. The record is from RNAcentral.